GUGUUCAAAGCAGGCAGAUCCAAUUUUCUGCCACCGAAUACAUUAGCAUGGGAUAAUGGAAUAGGACCCUGUCCUCCUAUUUUCAGUUGGUUUUGGCAGCGCGAGGACUAGGGUAAUGAUUAAUAGGGAUAGUUGGGGGCAUUAAUAUUUAAUUGUCAGAGGUGAAAUUCUUGGAUUUAUGAAAGAUUAACUUCUGCGAAAGCAUCUGCCAAGGAUGUUUUCAUUAAUCAAGAACGAAAGUUAGGGGAUCGAAGACGAUCAGAUACCGUCGUAGUCUUAACCAUAAACGAUGCCGACCAGCGAUUAGGAGACGUUGAAUACAAAACACCACCAUCGGCGCGGUCGUCCUUGGCGUCGGUCCUUCACGGGGCCGGCGCGAGGGCGGCUUAGCCCGGUGGCAC
RNAcentral lists this ribosomal RNA (401 nucleotides) under Acanthamoeba sp. Its description in RNAcentral is "SSU rRNA". It matches the Rfam family "Eukaryotic small subunit ribosomal RNA", at positions 771 to 1099 of the family's 1831-position model. The record is from RNAcentral. Lineage: Eukaryota; Discosea; Longamoebia; Acanthamoebidae.